AUGACGAGUGGCGCACGGGUGAGUAACGCGUAUGCAAUCUACCUAUAACUGAGGAAUAGCCCAGAGAAAUUUGGAUUAAUACCUCAUAAUAUUAUUAUUUGGCAUCAUUUAAUAAUUAAAACUCCGGUGGUUAUAGAUGAGCAUGCGUUCUAUUAGCUAGUUGGUGAGGUAAGAGCUCACCAAGGCUACGAUAGAUAGGGGGCCUGAAAGGGUGAUCCCCCACACUGGUACUGAGACACGGACCAGACUCC
RNAcentral lists this ribosomal RNA (251 nucleotides) under uncultured Owenweeksia sp. RNAcentral describes it as "partial 16S ribosomal RNA". It matches the Rfam family "Bacterial small subunit ribosomal RNA", at positions 88 to 339 of the family's 1533-position model. The record is from RNAcentral. Lineage: Bacteria; Pseudomonadati; Bacteroidota; Flavobacteriia; Flavobacteriales; Owenweeksiaceae.